GCCAAUGAGGGUGGCUAGCAUAGGGGGCAUGGGGCCUUUCAUCAACAUGCUUGGGUUGGGCUCCAACUCAAGCCCAAACCCGUCACCAAGAGCUUAGGUCUGGGCUCUAACUUAAGCCCAAGGCACCAUCACUAUAAAAGUUUGGGCCUGGGCUCCAACUUAAGCCCAAAUCAAGGCAAACCCAAGGCAUCCUCUUAACAUCAACCUGGGCUGGGUGUUUUAACUUAAGCCCAAAUCAAGGCAAGCCCAAGGCACCAUUUUAACAUCAACUUGGGCUGGGUGUUUUAACUUAAGCCCAAAUCAAGGCAAGCCCAAAUCAAGGCAAACCCAAGGCAUCCUCUUAACAUCAACCUGGGCUGGGUGUUUUAACUUAAGCCCAAAUCAAGGCAAGCCCAAGGCACCAUUUUAACAUCAACUUGGGCUGGGUGUUUUAACUUAAGCCCAAAUCAAGGCAAGCCCAAGGCAUCAUCUCCUUCAACUUGCCCCUCCACCUGGAAACGCUGCAUGCUUCGCGCCACCGGAGAGAAGAUGCAUGGAGAGGAGGAGGAAAAGGAAGAGGAAGGGAAAGAGGAAGAGAAAGAGAGAGAAAAUGUGGCAACAUGCAUGGCUAUCAUAUAAUUCGCAUGGGAACCAAAACAUGGACCAAGCAAUUCAUGAAAUGAGGAGCAAAUUUAACGCGUUAAAUAAUCCGGAAACAUCUAAAUAUCAAGAAGGAGUGAGAUAUGGCUGAAAAUAGAACAAAAUGAAUAAUAAAAAAAAUGGAGAACCUAGGGUACAAAAGUAAUCUAACCUGAGCGGUCUCCCUUCUCCUUCUCUUGCGUUUCCUCUCUUCUUUUCUCCAGGCUUUUUUUUUUCUUCAAAGAAUCCUCCCCACUGCUACCCGUUUUCUUUUUUUCCUUCUUCUCUUUUUUCCUAUCUUCACCCGCAAGCCAUCAGCUACUCCACUAUUCCCUGCUCAGCAACCUCAGAAGCUCCAACCACCACCAUGGAGAGGGCCACCUGCCUCGUCACGUGCUCCAUGCAGCUGCUCCUCCAAGAAGCCCGGUCCCCCCUUCAAAUGUCAUCCUCCAGGCGCUUCCCAAGUGGCAGGAAGGCUAAAUAUAAAUGCAUAUAUAUAUAUA
RNAcentral lists this long non-coding RNA (1121 nucleotides) under Vitis vinifera (wine grape). Its description in RNAcentral is "long non-coding RNA (VVIN_LNC000684)". Lineage: Eukaryota; Viridiplantae; Streptophyta; Magnoliopsida; Vitales; Vitaceae. The record is from RNAcentral.